RNAcentral lists this ribosomal RNA (301 nucleotides) under uncultured bacterium. RNAcentral describes it as "partial 16S ribosomal RNA". It matches the Rfam family "Bacterial small subunit ribosomal RNA", at positions 509 to 807 of the family's 1533-position model. The record is from RNAcentral.
CAGCCGCCACGGUAAUACGUAGGUGGCAAGCGUUGUCCGGAAUUAUUGGGCGUAAAGGGCUCGCAGGCGGUUUCUUAAGCCUGAUGUGAAAGCCCCCGGCUCAACCGGGGAGGGUCAUUGGAAACUGGGAAACUUGAGUGCAGAAGAGGAGAGUGGAAUUCCACGUGUAGCGGUGAAAUGCGUAGAGAUGUGGAGGAACACCAGUGGCGAAGGCGACUCUCUGGUCUGUAACUGACGCUGAGGAGCGAAAGCGUGGGGAGCGAACAGGAUUAGAUACCCCAGUAGUCCCUGUCUCUUAUAC